CCUCGGUCCCAGGGUUACGGGA
RNAcentral lists this unclassified non-coding RNA (22 nucleotides) under Mus musculus (house mouse). RNAcentral's name for it is "oocyte_clustered_small_RNA2614". Lineage: Eukaryota; Metazoa; Chordata; Mammalia; Rodentia; Muridae. The record is from RNAcentral.